RNAcentral lists this transfer RNA (73 nucleotides) under Ailuropoda melanoleuca (giant panda). It matches the Rfam family "tRNA". Rfam says of the family: Transfer RNA (tRNA) molecules are approximately 80 nucleotides in length. Their secondary structure includes four short double-helical elements and three loops (D, anti-codon, and T loops). Further hydrogen bonds mediate the characteristic L-shaped molecular structure. tRNAs have two regions of fundamental functional importance: the anti-codon, which is responsible for specific mRNA codon recognition, and the 3' end, to which the tRNAs corresponding amino acid is attached (by aminoacyl-tRNA synthetases). tRNAs cope with the degeneracy of the genetic code in two manners: having more than one tRNA (with a specific anti-codon) for a particular amino acid; and 'wobble' base-pairing, i.e. permitting non-standard base-pairing at the 3rd anti-codon position. The record is from Rfam by way of RNAcentral. Lineage: Eukaryota; Metazoa; Chordata; Mammalia; Carnivora; Ursidae.
GCCUGUCUGGCUCAACUGGAAGAGCACGCGACUCUCGUUCUCAGAGUUGUGAGUUCAAGCCCCACGAUGGGUG